RNAcentral lists this ribosomal RNA (1372 nucleotides) under uncultured bacterium. Its description in RNAcentral is "bacterial SSU rRNA". It matches the Rfam family "Bacterial small subunit ribosomal RNA", at positions 28 to 1381 of the family's 1533-position model. The record is from RNAcentral.
GAUGAACGCUGGCGGCGUGCCUAAUACAUGCAAGUCGAGCGAACGGACGAGAAGCUUGCUUCUCUGAUGUUAGCGGCGGACGGGUGAGUAACACGUGGAUAACCUACCUAUAAGACUGGGAUAACUUCGGGAAACCGGAGCUAAUACCGGAUAAUAUUUUGAACCGCAUGGUUCAAAAGUGAAAGACGGUCUUGCUGUCACUUAUAGAUGGAUCCGCGCUGCAUUAGCUAGUUGGUAAGGUAACGGCUUACCAAGGCAACGAUGCAUAGCCGACCUGAGAGGGUGAUCGGCCACACUGGAACUGAGACACGGUCCAGACUCCUACGGGAGGCAGCAGUAGGGAAUCUUCCGCAAUGGGCGAAAGCCUGACGGAGCAACGCCGCGUGAGUGAUGAAGGUCUUCGGAUCGUAAAACUCUGUUAUUAGGGAAGAACAUAUGUGUAAGUAACUGUGCACAUCUUGACGGUACCUAAUCAGAAAGCCACGGCUAACUACGUGCCAGCAGCCGCGGUAAUACGUAGGUGGCAAGCGUUAUCCGGAAUUAUUGGGCGUAAAGCGCGCGUAGGCGGUUUUUUAAGUCUGAUGUGAAAGCCCACGGCUCAACCGUGGAGGGUCAUUGGAAACUGGAAAACUUGAGUGCAGAAGAGGAAAGUGGAAUUCCAUGUGUAGCGGUGAAAUGCGCAGAGAUAUGGAGGAACACCAGUGGCGAAGGCGACUUUCUGGUCUGUAACUGACGCUGAUGUACGAAAGCGUGGGGAUCAAACAGGAUUAGAUACCCUGGUAGUCCACGCCGUAAACGAUGAGUGCUAAGUGUUAGGGGGUUUCCGCCCCUUAGUGCUGCAGCUAACGCAUUAAGCACUCCGCCUGGGGAGUACGACCGCAAGGUUGAAACUCAAAGGAAUUGACGGGGACCCGCACAAGCGGUGGAGCAUGUGGUUUAAUUCGAAGCAACGCGAAGAACCUUACCAAAUCUUGACAUCCUUUGACAACUCUAGAGAUAGAGCCUUCCCCUUCGGGGGACAAAGUGACAGGUGGUGCAUGGUUGUCGUCAGCUCGUGUCGUGAGAUGUUGGGUUAGGUCCCGCAACGAGCGCAACCCUUAAGCUUAGUUGCCAUCAUUAAGUUGGGCACUCUAAGUUGACUGCCGGUGACAAACCGGAGGAAGGUGGGGAUGACGUCAAAUCAUCAUGCCCCUUAUGAUUUGGGCUACACACGUGCUACAAUGGACAAUACAAAGGGCAGCGAAACCGCGAGGUCAAGCAAAUCCCAUAAAGUUGUUCUCAGUUCGGAUUGUAGUCUGCAACUCGACUACAUGAAGCUGGAAUCGCUAGUAAUCGUAGAUCAGCAUGCUACGGUGAAUACGUUCCCGGGUCU